Molecule: long non-coding RNA, 390 nt
Organism: Oncorhynchus kisutch (coho salmon)
Lineage: Eukaryota; Metazoa; Chordata; Actinopteri; Salmoniformes; Salmonidae
Exons: 2
Source: RefSeq, a predicted model, not a curated record
GUCCAGGUAACGGUAGCUGGCUUGAUAAAUGAGCCUAUCACUAGGCUAGUCGCUAACUAGCUAGGUUAGCUGACUAACAUCGCCCGACCAUGAGCUCAGCAAGCUGCUGCCCUCCUGCUAAAAAAGAGGUCUGCGUGGAAGGAGAAAGAAGGUAUUUGGCUGAACGUUGUCGUGAAAGAGGAGAAUGAGAGGAGGAUGUCACAGUAAACGAAGAAGUAGAGGGUGAGGCUGUUACACAGAAAGAAGAGGAAGAAAACGAUUAUACUUUUUUUGGAGUGAAUGAAGGAGAGAUAACUGUCAUAUUGAAGGAGGAGGAGAGGGAAGAAGAGGAGGAGACAGAAGAUCUGAGUAACACCAGAGAGAGACCAGACUCUCCUUCUGACAGCAGGA